The sequence is a small nucleolar RNA, 101 nucleotides long. It matches the Rfam family "A. fumigatus snoRNA Afu_514".
AUACAUGAUGAUAUAAUUUGCGAUCGACUCCGGUGUGUUGGGCCCUCGCCAGGGUACUAUAGCACCCGGCAGGAUGAGAUUUAUUCUUACAUAUACUGAAC